RNAcentral lists this long non-coding RNA (202 nucleotides) under Trifolium pratense (red clover). Its description in RNAcentral is "long non-coding RNA (TPRA_LNC013228)". Lineage: Eukaryota; Viridiplantae; Streptophyta; Magnoliopsida; Fabales; Fabaceae. The record is from RNAcentral.
AAAAUUUCUAUCUGACACAUAAAAAUUCAUAAAUAAUUGAUCUUAUGUUAAAAAAUUCUAAAUUUAUAUCGGAGAUGUUCUUAUAAUAUUAUAAACAUAAAUACAAAAAACCAUUAAAAAAUGUGACAGUAUACAAGAGCUUAAUUAAAAGUAGGGACUAAAAACACUGGCGGAAAAAAUUUCAGGGACUAAAAAGUGCGAA